Molecule: transfer RNA, 627 nt
Filed under: uncultured Prochlorococcus sp.
Lineage: Bacteria; Bacillati; Cyanobacteriota; Cyanophyceae; Synechococcales; Prochlorococcaceae
Description: partial 16S-23S ribosomal RNA intergenic spacer
Rfam family: tRNA (bases 235-307)
Source: RNAcentral
UACUAUGUCUGAAUACAAUUUAGGCGGUAAUCCUGUCACCUUAGGUCGAUCGGUACCUCAGAUUAAUAACUAGAAAAUGAUUCAUCAUUUUCAUUUGUUUUUUAUUUUAGUUCCUAAACUUGUCUAGGUCACACCCAACUAACUUUCUUCUGGGCUAUUAGCUCAGGUGGUUAGAGCGCACCCCUGAUAAGGGUGAGGUCCCUGGUUCAAGUCCAGGAUGGCCCAUUCGUUGUUGGGGGUAUAGCUCAGUUGGUAGAGCGCCUGCUUUGCAAGCAGGAUGUCAGCGGUUCGAGUCCGCUUACCUCCACUGAUCAACUACCUAAUAACUAAUUUUGGAGAUAGUCAUUUGGUUAUUGUGAUUUAGAUGUUGUUCAUCUGAAUGAACCUAGCUUCCUAUCAAUCGUUUAGUUUUUCUAGGCUGAUAGAUAAGACGCUGGGCUCACGGAUAUUCGAAAGAUUAUCUGUUUGAUUCAGCAGAACCUUGACAACUGCAUAGGAAAAGUCUGGAAAAAUAAAGCAUCUCAUAGAUGUAGAAAAUAAAUUUAUCAGAUAUUCUGAUUGAUUUUUUUUUAUUAAUUCUUGAGUUAGAGCAUAAUUUCUAUAACUUCAACGCUUUAAGCGUUUAUC